RNAcentral lists this ribosomal RNA (246 nucleotides) under uncultured Rikenellaceae bacterium. RNAcentral describes it as "partial 16S ribosomal RNA". It matches the Rfam family "Bacterial small subunit ribosomal RNA", at positions 1136 to 1382 of the family's 1533-position model. Lineage: Bacteria; Pseudomonadati; Bacteroidota; Bacteroidia; Bacteroidales; Rikenellaceae. The record is from RNAcentral.
AACUCUAGCGGAACUGCCAGCGUAAGCUGUGAGGAAGCGGGGAUGACGUCAAAUCAGCACGGCCCUUACGUCCAGGGCUACACACGUGUUACAAUGGCCGGUACAGAGGGCAGCCACCCCGCGAGGGGGCGCGAAUCCCGAAAGCCGGUCGCAGUUCGGAUCGGAGUCUGGAACCCGACUCCGUGAAGCUGGAUUCGCUAGUAAUCGCGCAUCAGCCAUGGCGCGGUGAAUACGUUCCCGGGCCUU